ACACUUAUCAGCUAUGAGCUUCAGUACUUGCAUUGCCUCUGUGUGAGACAGGUAAUAAAGAAUACCUUCGAGAACCCAUACGGUGUUAAUCUCUGGCAGAAAACCCGAUUUCUUAAGCUGUUCAAACCAAUCGUUGUCUCUGAUAUCAAUUGCUACUCUGACUAGUGAUUUCGCUGUCAUCCUAAGAUCAUCUCUAGAGUUUACAGCAGCUUGAACUAGGCUCGCUUUGGUUUCCAAAACAUCUUGAAAAUCUACUUCGAAUACGUCGCUUUUGUUCAAGCAGUUUAGUCGGUAUGAUCUCGCAUCCAUUCCUGAAAUUCAAUUACACCAUUCUAUGUUGGCUACUUAUCUUAAACUCAUGCUUCACAUAUAUCAUCGGUAAUCUCACAAAUAUACAUUACUUAAAUUUUCUAAAUAGUUGAAACCAAACCUGCACCAAGUAGCACAACCUGAGCUGCAUCACUUUCGAAAGACUCCAGAGCAGCUUGAAUCCUUGUAUCAAAC
This 504-nucleotide long non-coding RNA is filed under the name Arabidopsis lyrata. RNAcentral's name for it is "long non-coding RNA (ALYR_LNC000468)". Lineage: Eukaryota; Viridiplantae; Streptophyta; Magnoliopsida; Brassicales; Brassicaceae. The record is from RNAcentral.